AAAAGUAGUGAAAAAUAAAUUUUGAAACUGCUUGAUGCUGGUGUCAUAUACCCUAUUUCUGAUGGUACUUGGGUUUUUCUAGUGCAUGCGUCCCUAAAAAAGGUGGAAUGACUGUUGUUAAAAAUGAAAAGGAUGAAUUGAUCCCGACUAUAACUCUUUCCAGGGAAGCUUAAGUCUAGAUGGCUGGUCCCUUCUAUAUCACUGAAGUCCGCCCUUAUUGAGCAGUCACUCUAGCUGGUAAGAGUGGAGAUUUCACAUUGAAUGGUCAAAGGCUCAAGAAAUACUUAGCAGAUCAAAUCCUUCCUGAGGUGACUUCGGCUCAUCUCCAGGAACCUCUUGAUGAUUAAAGGAGUAAGGAAGUCAAGCUAAUGACUUAAAACAAGCUCACUUGGGGGAGGGGGGGGGGGUUUAAGUCCCAUGCCUUUCUCUGUACAUAUUUUUGUUUUCCUUGUAAUUUUUGAUGCAUUUUACUAGUGGUUUCAGGAGAUAACUGCUAAUGUUUAAGUGCAAUGGAUUCAACCUCAAAAAUUCACUUGACCACAUGAUGUAGAGAUCGAGUGUCUCUGUGCAAUCGAGUAUAAACAAGGUUUCAGUUGGAGCUUCAACAUGUCACUCGAUCACACUGGCCACAUGCUGAUGAGGAAAUAUAAUCGAGUAAACUUGAUGAUUCUGAGCCUUUAUACUCGACCUCGUACUCGACCGUAAUAAGCCAUAUGGCGACCAGCGGUGGAAAUCGAGUGUGUUGUUGUUUUGACCCAAAAAUUCAACCUUAUACUCGACCAAUAGAGGCUACAGAGACUUACAGAGGAUUUUAGGAUUUCCUGAGGUUUUGCAGUCAACAGGGAACUGAGCUUAAUGACAAAACAACAUAGCGUGGACCACACGCGUUUUCUCACUGAGGAUAAGAUGGAGAGAGAAAUACAAAUUUAAUCUCCACCAUUCCUUUUGAAAUCGCCUUCAUUCCUUCAAAACACUAAAGAAAUUUACUCGACCUCUGAGGAAAAUAAACACUUCGCCGCCUCUCAAGUUCACCAUCUCCAAGACUCGAUUUCAACAAGAUUACUCGACUGCUGCGGAAGAGAAGUAUUUCACCGUCGCAAUCGAGUACGCCGACUCGUCCUUGGUCGAGUAGCACCAGUUUUAACCCCAUCGAAAGCACAUUCAUCCCCUCUGGAAUCUAAGUAACUUCGAAGAGUCACUCGACAGCCGCUACGCCGCCGCAAUCGAGUUCACCAUCUUAUUCACCAUCGAGUAGAAUCAGUUUGGCCGUCGAAACCUCAAGAACACUAGACCAGAUUCAAGAUUCCAAACGAUAAUUCCGGUUGACUGAGAGUUUACUCGAUCGCUGGUGCUCUCAUUUAGCAGAUCCACUCGACAUCACCAGUUUUACUCGACCACCACUCUAUGCAACUUGAUUCCAAUCAUGAAAGAAGAGCUUGUGAACACGUCAGCUUACUCGAGUACUGGGUUACACUCGACCAGUUUAGUCCUUUUUGUUAAUUCUUGAGAACAAUUCCGGUUUCAUAGUUUUUUUUGAGACUAACCUAUUGACAUUUGAGUUUUGAGUUCUCAAUCUUUUUCAGGAUCAUUAUGAGCAACUAUAGUGGCGGUUCGUCAAUUGAUUCCGACUAUAACUUGGAUGAGGCUGAGUUUUCAUCUUUAAGACCGGAAAGAGAACAGAGGGAAUAUGAGAAUUUCAGGAGAAGAGCUGAGAUAGCUCUAGGGAAGAGAGCAGUGACAGAGAGGUAUGAGCUGAUAGACGAGGAGAUGGAGGUCGAGUAUAUGCCUGAGCAUUCUCAUAGAGCCACAAAACCUCUACACAAGCCUGGGUUAUUGCCAGCUGAGGAGUAUAUCAGACUCUUCAAGCUGAAUGAGUUCUACAACACAAAGUAUCCCUGCUCAACUACCCUAGCACAGCUUGGAUUACUGGAGGAUUUCAGCACAUGUACCAGAGUUGUCACCUGGACACUCUGAUGGCUUACCCAUAUGUAGCCUACGAGGAAGAAACAAUUCAGUUCCUUUCCACACUACAAGUGGAGCUCCACCAAGGUAUGACCUUUAAUGAUUUGGAAAGUGAAGGAUUGGGAUUCUUGAGAUUCUCUGUGUAUGGUCAGGAUUAUAUGAUGUCAAUCAAGCGUUUGGAAGGAUUGUUUGGUUUCCCAGUGGAACGGGAACCAAGCCCAAGUAUGACAGAGAUGAGUGGAAGGAUUUAUGGAUCACCAUUGGCAGCUCUGUACCACUAAAUUCUUCUAGAUCCAAGAGCAACCAGAUAUGCAAUCCUUUCAUCAGGUACUUCCAGCGUUCUGUGGCCAAUGUCCUCUACUCUAGAGAGAUAACAGGGACUGUCACCAACUUUGAUAUGGAGAUGAUCACUAUGGCUCUCAGAAGUACUCUCCGCCAAACCAAGAACGGUAUUUCUCUCCAAGGUGAAAUCAAUGACACUCCUCUCUCUAUACUUCUUCUGAUCCACAUGUGUGGAUAUAAGAGCUGGGCUACCAGCAAUAACCACAAGAGAGCACGAGGCGCUCUUUGCAGAUGAGGGGUUCUGACACCAAUUCUUAUCGCUUGUGGAGUCCCAAUCACAUCUGAUGGACUUGAGCCACGAGCAAUGGAUCUCGAGCAUCUACGACACUACGAAAUCCUCGAGUUGGAAAUGGUCGACGACAGGCAUCGUUUCAAGUUUGAGCACUUUACAAACAAGAAAGCCAACAUCCUUCCCCCCAGUCCUAAGCUUAGACGCAUAAUAGAGGGAGAUAACAUUUAUUUCACACCUGCGCUUGAGAACCUCUAUUACAAGAACGCUUAGCUGAUAGAUGAGGAUGCAAGACGGUACUGAGGAUGAGAUCGGUGAGACGGAUGAGGAGAAGUAUGAUUCAAGCAUGUAUCAUUUCAGUGAGCACGUAGCUCUAGCGAGGGAGAGUAAGAGCUUGAGUGAAGCUCACAGAAACAAUAGCAAGUUGCAGAAGUGGUGCAAGAAGCAAGACAAGUUCAUUAUCAAAUGCCUAAAGACUAUCAAGUCUUUGAAGGCCAUGCUAAGCUGCUCCACUUCCACUACAACUAUUCUGCAGGGACAGCCUCCUCAGGACAUGCCAUUGAGGAGAUUUGACGAGCUUGAGCCGAGUCAACACAGGCCUGAGCCUAGUGAGCAGAGGGUCUCACAUUUCCCAGCUACACAUUCAUCAUUCGAGUCUCGGGAGCACAUGAAGAAGAAGAAGGCUAUGCUCGUUCGCUCUAGCAGCAGAUCAUGCCUUAUCAACUCGAGGAGAUCACUCGACCGCCAUGCUGGCCGCAAAAGAAGAAGAGAGGUCGAGUAUCCUUGUGGCGGUGCUGGCCGCAGAAGAGGCGAUGAGGUCAAGUAUCCUCAGGGAGUUGGGGCUGAGACAGAACAGGGCGACACUUUCAUUGCUUGGGAGCAAUCACAGGCAGCCAUUGAUGACCAACUCUGUUCAUACUUCGACAGAGGUAAGCACCUGACUUCACCAUUGUACUAUACCAUCUCGUGUUUUUAUUUUGUUUUUGUGAUGUGUUUUGUCCUGAGUACUCUCUUCCAAGUUUAGUAACACAAAGGAUUGUUUGAUUUAAGCUAGAUUACUAUACUCGAUCACACUGUCAUGAUUUGAUACCAUUCCCUAUCAAUUUGAACCUGAAUCUGAUUUUUUAAU
Molecule: small RNA, 3662 nt
Filed under: Arabidopsis thaliana (thale cress)
Lineage: Eukaryota; Viridiplantae; Streptophyta; Magnoliopsida; Brassicales; Brassicaceae
Description: ATSL197070
Rfam family: MIR854 microRNA precursor family (bases 2845-3065)
Source: RNAcentral